RNAcentral lists this non-coding RNA (19 nucleotides) under Arabidopsis thaliana (thale cress). The record is from RNAcentral. Lineage: Eukaryota; Viridiplantae; Streptophyta; Magnoliopsida; Brassicales; Brassicaceae. RNAcentral also lists the same sequence under 2 other names.
GUAGCCAAAUGCCUCGUCA